AUGGCUUUAGUACGUGAUCUUUGGUUGCCAAGUAGUUUGGACACGAUGAUAGGGCUAAUUUGGCCAUCUAUUGAGGCCGAAAAUUUUGAGUUGAGGCCUGGACUUAUUGCUCUCGUCUUGCAGAGUCAGUUUAGAGGAUUACCCAAUGAAGACCCUCAUGAGCACAUUUGUAAUGUCCUGGUGUAUGCCAAUACAGUCCAGUACCAUGGCGUUUCCCAAGAUGCUAUCAAGUGUAUGCUGUUCACAUUCUCUCUCAGAGAUGCUGCUAAGGACUGGUACUAUUCUUUGCCAUCAAGAUCAUACACUUGGGGUGAUAUUUCGCAAGCUUUCCUGCACAGAUAUUUUCCACUUUACAAGCAAGCUGCAAUUCGUGACCAGAUCCUCAGUUUUGCGCAAGAUGGAAGUGAGAGCUUGUAUGCAGCUUGGGAGAGAUAUAAGUAUUUGCUUAGAAAAUGUCCUAAUCAUGGGCAAAAGGAUUGGUUAGUGCUCCAGAUAUUCUAUAGAGGGCUGACACAUGCUUCGAGAGAUCUUAUUGAUAUGUCAGCUGGUGGAACAAUCAUGAACAAGACCGUUGAGGGUGCAAUUAUUCUCAUUGAGAGCAUUGCCUUCCACCAAAUGCAAUGGGGUUAUGAAAGGCCUAGUUCAAAUCCGAAGGUUGCAAGCCAUCUGCAAUCAGAAGCUGUGUGUUCCAUAAGUGAACAGAAAUCAUCCAUGGUGCCUAAUAUUCAAAACCAGCAUGUUUCAUUCCGGGGACAACAACAUUUCAGAGCUGAAUUAGAUCCUCCAUGUAGAAAGAUUGAUCUUACUUCAAGUAUCCUUGAUGAUGAUUAUGAUAUUUUUCAAGAUGAUGCAACCAUUGUAGAUCAGAUGGAAACCACAGUAGCAGAUCCAAUACCUCAUGGCAAUGAAACUGUCCAGACUGAGUCAAAGUUGCAAGAUGUUUAUGAGGAACCUACUCUGAUUGAUGCUAAGUGGAGACAACAAGAUAUGGAGAAAUUCACUUGUGUUAGUCAACUAUGUGACUGGUGGAAUUUAGUCGUGUCACCAAUUGCCCACACUUGUGUUACAACUAUAUCUGGGCUAUUUGUCAAGAAGAAAUCAUUAGCUCCACCGGUGGUUGCCUCUAUCUCAGUUAAAGAGAGUAUCUCAGAGAAGAAUAGUGAAGAUGAGAUUCCAAUUCCUGCACAUACAACUAAGCAAGUCGGAGACAUUCCAAGGAGAGAUAUACAAGAGGUUGAGUCAAAUUUAGAAGAGUUGAUACUUCAAUAUUUUGAGAAGAUCCCACAUGUUGCUGAGCUGCAUGACUGGUGGAAGUCAUCAGUGUCAUUGUUGAAACUUAGCAGUGAUGGUGAUGAGGAGAACAUUGCUCAGAAAGACAGCGAGGUAGUGAUCUCAGCACCCCUACCAGAUCAUGUUAGUGCAUAUUCACAGAUGGGGACACUCCAGACUCAAUUAGGUGUUGCUGGUAGUAGCACCAUAGAAGAUCCAGAGGAAGAGAGACCUCAACUUGAAGAAGAUUUACAAAAAGACAAGGAACAAGAUGAUCCAGAGCUCGAAUACCCAAAUGAACAAGUUGAAGAUCCAAUGUCUAUCUCUUCCGAAAAAGUAAAAGAAGCUGCUAUAGAUGAACUUGAAGAACCGGAAAUGCAUUUGCCCAUCGUCAUACAGGAGCGUGAUGUAGCAGGUUUAUCUAAUCCUCUUGAUGACAUGCGUCCGUAUAAUUUCUUUGCUACUACCUUGCAUUACAUGAUACCAUCACUUAAGAUUGAUUUGAAAACUCAUUUGCUUGUAUAUGAUGAUAUAUACCCUGUUAGUGGUAUUGCUCUCAUUUAUGAUGAUGACACUUAUUCUCCUCAUGCUAGUCCUUUGCUUAAUGAAACAUAUCAUUCCCAUGCUAGUCUUGAGCUUAAUGAUAAAUAUCAUCCUCAUGUUAGUGUUGACCUUGCUAAUUUCUACCACCCUAAACAUGUGCUUUAUAGCUAUGCUUAUGUAAUUGGAUAUUCGAUUGAUGACUUGGAGGGUAUUAUCCCUACCACUUGCAUUGUCUCUUUCAUUGAGUGCUCUUUCAGGUUCUUGCUUGUGCACGAAUCACUACAUGCUGACCAGGUUCGAGGUGACAUUCCUUGGGACCCCGGUGGAUCCUGA
This 2145-nucleotide ribosomal RNA is filed under the name Triticum aestivum (bread wheat). RNAcentral's name for it is "partial small subunit ribosomal RNA". The record is from RNAcentral. Lineage: Eukaryota; Viridiplantae; Streptophyta; Magnoliopsida; Poales; Poaceae.